Molecule: non-coding RNA, 96 nt
Filed under: Anaerobium acetethylicum
Lineage: Bacteria; Bacillati; Bacillota; Clostridia; Lachnospirales; Lachnospiraceae
Description: Guanine sequence
Rfam family: Purine riboswitch aptamer
About the family: Riboswitches are metabolite binding domains within certain messenger RNAs that serve as precision sensors for their corresponding targets. Allosteric rearrangement of mRNA structure is mediated by ligand binding, and this results in modulation of gene expression. A class of riboswitches that selectively recognises guanine and becomes saturated at concentrations as low as 5 nM.
Source: Rfam by way of RNAcentral
CUGAACAGAUACCAUAUAACUUAUAUAAGUCUGAGAUCGGUCAGAUGUUUCUACCAACUACCGUAAUAGUUGUCUAUAGGUUUUUCACGAAAAACA